Equus caballus (horse) is the source of this 12983-nucleotide long non-coding RNA. The record is from Ensembl. NCBI's taxonomy places the organism in Eukaryota, Metazoa, Chordata, Mammalia, Perissodactyla, Equidae.
AUUUGGUCUGCCUCACAAUGAUAUUCUUCAGCAAGGAAAGAAAAAUAGGGUCUGUGGUUGGUGUGAAAGAGUAAAACCAGAUACACUUGCCAGUUGUACAAGAAAGUCAGAGGUUUUUUUCACACUUAGACUUGUUUUCCCUCAUUAAGGCAAAAUACCAAAUUCAUCCUCAGUUUCCUAAGAACAAGGCCCAGCCCUGGGAUGAAUUAGAAGGCGGUUAAUUAUGCUGAAUGCUGUGUCAAUCCUCUACUGAUGACAAAAACCAAGCACAGCUGCCAAUCUCCAGGACUUUUCUACUCUAAUAUGAAAAUUCUUCGUGGAAUGAUUGCUAUGAAAUGCCUCCUUCUGCUCACUGCUGUGGUGAAGCAUCGAGGAGUUGUCUGACGCUUGCAGCUCACCCAGAUUGCAGAAGACAGGGGCCACGUGCCCAUUAGCCUGAGGGGACACUCAGAAGCCUCCACCACCUACGGCCCAUGGGUUCUGAAACCAAAGUGAAUCACUUCUGGGGAAGACAACGACGUGUUUACUUUUCACGGAAUUGAAAAUUGAAGGUAUUUCAUAAUAUGAUCUGGGAAAAUUUGCCAGAUGUUUCAUUCUACUGUGUUCUUCUGGCAGGUCUACAAGAUAUAAUGCUGAGAAAGGCUAAUAAAUCAAGAUAGGUAUGAAAAGCUUAGGGACAAAAUUCAUAAAACCUUGAACUGCAGGAGGACGCUUGUUUUCUAGCUGCUGGAAUAUGAAAUUUCCUUAUUUUUUGAUACUUCACAGACAAGCUAAUAUAAACUAUAGAUCUCACUUUUACUCAUUUCUCUCUCCUCCUCCUCUUCUCCUUCUCUCCUUUCUUUCUGUUUCAGUUUUGCCAAUUUAAGAAUCUCUAAACCCAGAAAAGGACAAUGUAGCUUCUCAUUACUUGAAAAGGAUGAAUAUCUUCCCACAGUUUUGAAUACAGCUUCAACUUUAGGACUUUUGUGCUCAGCCCAAGGAAGGUACACAGGAUCAAACUUUGAGAUGCUUUAAAAUAAAUUCUUUUUGCCAAGGACAAGCACUGCAUGGACAGCCUUUGGCCCAUUUUCCUUUCCUUCCUCUUCAGAUUUCCGAGGGGCUAAGGAACUGUGGCAUUAAAUAGAGGAACACUGGGGCAGACUUCAUAUUGGUCAUCUGUUACGUUGGAUCACCGUGUCACGGUGACUCCAAUCCCAGCUGUCAUAUUUAUUUAUUGCUGCAUAACAAAUCGCCCCAAAACAUAGUGGCUUAAAACAACAGACAUAUUAUCUCACAAUUUCUGCUGGUCUGGAGUUUGGGAGUCGCUUGGCUGGGUGGCCUGGCUCCGGAUCUCUUGUGAGAUUGCAGUCAGGAUGUUGACUAGGGCUGAGGCAGUGAAGCUCUGACGGGGGCUGGAGGAUCUACUUCCGAGACGGUGCACUCAGACGGCUGUUGGCAGGAGGCCUCGGUUUCUUCCUGUGUGGACCUCUCCAUAGAGUCCGCCUCAGAGUCCUCAUGACAUGGCAGCUGGCUUCCACCAGAAUGAGUGCUCCAAGUGAGAGAACGACAGAGAACAAGCACGAGGCCACAGGGCUUUCAACGAUCUAGUCUCCCAAGUCACACAGUGUGUGCUUUGUUCUGUUUGUUAGACACAAGUCGCUAAGUCUAGCCCACACUCAAGGGGCGGGGGAUUAGCCUCCAUCUCUGAAACAAGAGAGUAUCACAGGAUUUGUGGACAUAUCUUAAAAUCAUCUCACUGGUUGGGAAGAAUUUCUAAUUUGUGCCGUUGAUAGGGAGAUAUCAAUAAAUGCCAUGCAUUACAAAGAAGAAGAAGAAAAGAAAGAAAAAGGAAAGUGCAACUCUAUUCAUGUCACUCUUCAUCCUACUCCACUAACUUCUGUCCCACACCUCAUCCCCAUCCCUUUCUGAUUCUGAAACUGCUUGUGGUUUUGAAUAAUUUCUCCAUAACUCCAAUCAUUGGUCUUACAAUUGCUGAGAUCUUGCAAUAUUCAUAACUUCUUAGGAAAAAGAAUCCAAUCCACUCAGAGGCCCAGGUAGCCCUGAAGCCUGGAGUCACAAGAAAGACAAAAGUCUAUGAAUUUAGAGGACAAAAGUGAGGUGAUAUGUAAAGAGAGAAAUUCUCUGCAGAUGUGAUCCUUUUUUACUGACGUCUCCUAGAGUUCUGGGGGGCGUUGCCAAAGCUCCCCAGAGGACUCCCUUGGUUCCCUCUAAUGACAGGAGAAGGCAAUCUCACCUAUGUGGGGCCAGCAGAUCUGAUUUCUCACUCAUCACUCCUAGGCAGCUCCUCUGAGCUUCCUGGGCUCCAUGCUUCCAGCCUCCAGUGAGCAAUAACCAUGGUACUAAAUCACUCUCUGCCCAUUGUUAUCCAGAGUCUGCCCAUGGACAUCUUUAUAUCCUACCAGGAAGUCUGUUCUGAUCAGCCAUUCACCGACCUCCUUUCAUGCUUACAACAGGCAAGAAAAGCGGCUUCAGGGACUACCAGCUCGCACAGCACAGUCAGUCCUAAUGGCCUUAUCACUCGGCUACCUGCUCCUCCUUCCCAAAGGGAGCACCAGUUAGUGUCUGUGAGCCAGAGAGUCUGGCUGAACCAUCCUAUUACUGUUUUAUAUAAAGCACUUACUGAAUUCCUAGAGGGAACAGGAGUCUCCAAGGGGAACUUGGCUCAUUAAACUGCUGCCCGCUUUCCAAGCAGCUAGAGAGGAUCUUAGAGGGGGUGAGCAGGGAGGCAAGACCUUCGAGGGGCUUGGUGAUGCGAAUGUGCUAACCUCUGGGCACCUGGGCAGUGACAAUAGGGAAUAACCUCAGAGGAGAAAAUGAGCAAUGCACUUUUCUUUUUUGCCCCAUUUAAUGGGGUUGAAGAAGAAACAAGGCCCUUUUAUAGAGUGAUACAAAUAUGUCCAGUAUCAAAGCUUCUAGGUUCCUGUACCUAAAAAACUCUUUAUGAUUAGUUUUUUCUUUCUUUUUUAUAUAUAAAGAAAAUUCUCCAUCUGUCUCUGCCCUAUAGAAUUCUCUACUUAGCCCUAGAUAGAUAAAGAAAAUGGCUUCUGAAGAUACGGUCUUUUAAAAGCCUAGAGAAGAAAGAACAGACAUUUCUUUAAAAGGCCUCUGGCCAUGAUGUCUUUCAACUCCAGUUUAUAGGAAUGAUUCACAGAAACCCUCUGGUAAAUGGCUUUUUGCUCAGAAAACAAGCCAACUCCCAUGUUGACAGGAUGCCGUCUGCAGAGAACUUGGGCAUUGCAUUUGCAAAGGUUUCCAGAGCUGACUGAUGCAUCUGGAUGCUAUGUACUCUGGGUAUGAAAUCAUUAAGGACUUCAUUCUACUGCCAGGGCCAAGUCUGCAGAAAAAGGAGAAGGAAGCCCUUGGUACAGUGGAGGACAGUCAGGGUAUGAUCUCUGAAUGCCAUUCUGCCCCAGAACGGGACUGGCAAGCUUCUACUUCACCUUCAUCCAAGUUGCUCAGCACAGAGAGGAGGAGUCCAAUUCUGCUCCCUCUUAUACGGGGUGUUUAAGCAAACAUGUACACUAGGCAGACUGAGGAAGCGAGCACAUGUGUGUGGCAGUAGGUCGUACCUGUGUGAGAGUACCACCUUCCAGGAUCUGCAAACACCUGGAUAUCUACUAUGACCUCAGAGAGGGCAAGCUGCACUUGGAGCCGAUGCUUUACUGACCUUCCUUUCCCAGUACGAAAUUCCUUCCUUUGAUGACAGUGCAUAAAGCCACAGUCAUUACAGCUGAAAGCAAAUAUUCUUACACUCUUUCUUUAGGACCUUUGGUAGAACUGUUUUCACCUACCUGCUUUGAAAUGAGCUGUGGCCAUCUGACUUGCUUUGUUAAGUAAAACAUGGGUAGAAAUAAUGGUGCCACUUCCUGUUGAGACUUUAAGAGUUGCUACAUAAUUCACCACCUCUUCUUUGAUCUGCCCAGGUAAACUGGCAAUGGUCCAGUGAUGGCUGCUUUUGAAGUGAGGAUGACUUGGAGCAGAGUCCCCACCAACUCUUGAUGGACAUGUAAGGAGAGGGAGAAAUAAGCUUUUACUGUUAUACGUCAUGAAGAUAGUUGCCUUAUUUGUUACUGCAGCAUAGCCUAGCCUGUUCUACCUGACUCUCCUAAUCCCCACUGGGAAGAGGGGGCUUCUAGCUGCCAACGGGAGCAUAUUUUGUGGGAAGAAUCUAUGUUCACAGUUCAUAGAAACACCUCUCUAGAUGAUAGUUUGAAAAAGUCCUUCUCACUUCCAGUCCAGGGAAAUACAUACUAUCUGGGCCACAGGAGAGAACCAAGUUUCCAUAAAAAGUUAGCUGUAUAUAAUUUUGCUGUGGAAGGAUAGAUAAUUAACCAAAUUCUUUCAAUUGCUUUGUUACAGUUUAUGAUUAAACUAAACUGUCUUUCUUCCUAGGCCUGUGUGCAACCUGCAGCCUCUACAGCCUAUGUGCAUAUGCCAUUUCCACUCUUUAUCUGAAUGCAUUUUGUUCCUUCAACAGGACUGGGGUGAAAGAUCAUGAGCUAAUCAUUCUUCAACAGUGAUGAAACCUGGCAGCGUUCUUGUCUAGAGCAUAAUUGUUUUCUUAAUGAACUCUUACAUCUGUCCUCUGUAGGAGAGGCUUUGGAAAAGAUUUGCUUUAGGAUCCUUAAGAGUAAGCAUAGGGUUAUAAACAGUGGCCUGUCACAAUUUUAUUCUCAUCAAACCGGCAGUAGGAAGUAUGUGUGUGAAGUAUCUGUAUAGUAAGGUUCAGUAUACAUGAGCUAUGAUUAUGAUUAUGAUUAUUUUUAAAAUAGAGGAAACCCUUGAAUGGUUAUGGAAUUGUAGCUUGGGUUCCCUAGAACAAAGCUUAAGGCAGGGCUUAAAUGCUAAUGCUUAUGCUUCAUUAGGGGAUGCAAUUUCAGAGUUUAGAGAGUAAGGCAAGGGAAGCAGGUAAAGCAAGUCAAAGGUGGUGGUUUCCGAACCUGCCACACCUCCAAAGAAAAAACAGCUGGUUGCUUCAAGGGCUCUGGAGACGUUAUGAGGAACCACUGUACCUCAGAACAAUCUGUCAAGGGAAGGACAGGAGCAGUGUUUUCUUGCUGGCUUCUUUCUCCCUCCUGCCUCUCACUAGUCAGGUGUUAUUUCACUGGGGGUUAAUCUCUGCCCCCCACACACACAUGCACUGCAGGUUGUGUUCUCAGCCACUCUGGGAUAGGGCCAAUCCCCAACCUCAUGCCCUAAUGUUUAAUCCAUGCCCCAAGAGGAAGAGGACCUGAGCCUUUAUGGGUCUAAUAAGGUCUGUACAGGGCACCUGAGUUGCUGCCAGUGGUGAUAGGAAAUAGGGUGGCAGCAGCUACUGUUCUCUUGAGCAAAAUCCAAGACCUAGGGACAUGUGGGGCAGAGUGAUCUGGGGAGGUACAUAAACUGAACCUGACACAAGUACUUGGUAUUUAAUUGAAAGAAGUAUGAUAUUUCUAUGUGGAGACAAUAAUGAGUCUUUAAAAAAUUUUUCAUGUGGGCAAUUAAAUGCUUGUAAUUAUAGAUAGUUGUCAGCCUGCUUCAAAGGGCUGUGGAGCUUCUCAGAAGAAAGCAGCUUGGAUAUGGUUUAAGAUUAAGAUAUUACAAACUGUGUCAGAACUGGUAACCUCAAAUGCCCAGAUUGUUGGGAAUCACGAGACCCGGUUAGCCUCCUGGAAACUUAGAGAGGGGGAGAUCUGAGUCAGUUCUACAAGAGUGGUCAGUAAGUCCUUUGUGGCAAACUUUUCAAAGACAAAGGGCUAGAGAUGACACUUAUCCUAUUGCACCCAAGUAGGGCUUGCCAGCAGGUGUACUUGCACACACUCAAAUAAACAAACAAAACCAAGGCGUUAGGUUACGGGCCACUGAAAGAAUUUGGAGAGUCAGUUAUGCCUACUUGGUACCAGAAAUCAUCCAAAUAUCCAAACUGUGAGUAUCACACACAAGUGAGUAUGAUUCACUAGAGCAUCUUCCAAGAUGCAAGAUGAGCUGGAAGUAAAGGUCUGUUUGGCCAAGUGUGUUUGGAAUUGCUAUGUGCAUUGCCUUGUCUUGGGAUGCUUAAAUAGCAUGAAGGCUCCAAGAUAUCCUAUUGUUAAACAGCCUGUUUAUCCUAGCAUUUCCCAAACUUUUUUCAUCAUAGGUCCUUCUCUUUUGCAUGACAAUUAUCAGCCUUCCGAGGGACUGUAAAUCCUUAGAGAAAACUUAGGGAAACUCUAGACUGUCGAGAAAAGUGGUGUGAUUUCGUAGGAAUUCAGGCAGUUGAGAGCGCGAGAACUGUGCUCUAGGACUGCUUUGGAUAUUAACCCUCUGUGACUUUAAAAUCAAGUGGCAUAACCACAUCCUGCCUUAGUUUCUUUGUUUUCCAAAUAACAUGUGGUAACAAGGUAGUAUUUUAUAUGGUCACGAGGAAGACCAGAUGAAGGAAUGGAUGUGAAGCAUUUUGGAAAAUUAAAAGGAAAUGAAAAACGAGUGAACUCUCUGCUCUUCAAGUGAAUGUUGUGGUCUACGAUUGAUCCAAUAAGCACUCUCAUCUUUACAAAUGAGUCCUGUGCUGAUCUGAGCAGGUUUUGCCUUUUUGACAGGCUCUUAGGUAGUUCUGAGAAUGCAGAGAGCCAGGAGGAGCGAUGUUGAGUGGUUGCCAGAGCCAAAUGAGGAAGCCCUGCUGCCAGCUUCCCACCAAAACAUGGGUGUUUAGACCAUUUUAUUCAAAACCAGCUCUUUGAAGGCACUAAGUGCUGAAUAAAUAUUGCUAAAAUAUGUGUGUGGCUUCUCUACUUGAGAGAGAGGAAAUGAAUAAUUGACUUCAGAGUUCCACCCCAUCCACAUAUCUCUUCCUGCAUAUGUGUAUCUCUUCCAGCAUGUUCCUUCUGGGUAAAAAUGGAAAGAAGAGUGUGAAUCAUCAACUCCUCCAAUAACAGAACAGGAACGGACUCUCGGGCUCAUCUUUUCCCCCUCUCUACUUGACAGAGGAGUAAACUGAGACCCGAGAACUACACCAACUUAUCCCUGCUCAAAAGAACUGUUGGGAGUGGAGCUGGACUCGGUUCUCCAUCAUUCUGAGCCAGUACUCUUCCACUAUACCACAUGGCCUCAUUUCCUACUCUCCAAUGAUUUGAAAAUGUUACUAUUAGAGACCCACUAGACCCUUAAAUAUAAGUGAACCAAAGAGGAAAUUUGCUAGGAUUACAUAAAAUCACCAAAGGGUGGCCAUGUUGCAAAGCAGCCUGCUCUCCAGUUAAAAUGGCUUUUCUAGAGGAGGUUAUAUGGAAUGACAGACUGAGGACAGAUGAGCUGAAUCAGGUUGCGUUCCUUAGAAGCAGAGUCAGGGUAGGGCAGAGGGAGAAGCCUAGCAAGGAUGUGGCCUUGGGUAAGGCCUUGCUUUGGUCUGAUCCAUGGGAGGAAGAUUCUGGAGCACAUAUCAGACAGAGUAGUUGUCCCUUUUUAGACAAGAAGCUCAACUUUCUAUAUGCCCAUGUAUGUCAGGCAUUGGCUGUAUGUCUCUGGGAUGGGUGCUUAUCUUCCCAGGCAAGACAGCUCCUGUCCUCCAAGGGUGGUUCUCCAGAGAAGGGGACAGCUGUGAGUCAUUAGCAGCCACCUGUCACAACAGGCAAAGUCAGGGCGUCUGCUGGUUAAGGGGAUCUGGGCCCAGCCCCCACAGCAUCUAGCACAGGAGCAGAGUGUGGGUGCAGGAGCGGGAACAAGGUUUAACAGAAACAGACCCACUGUCAUUCCCUUGGAAGUGGGCAUUUGCUCAGACCCAUCAAGGCUGGACAGAACAGGCAACCAAGUGAAACCAUCAGACCAUCGUGUUUGUCUUUGUUUCUCUCUGUGGUCAUGCUCAGAGAACUUCGUCCCUCUCAGUUUCGCAUUUCCUUCAGGCUUUAUCUUGCACUUUAAUUGUAAUAAUCUAAGCAAAGACAACAAGGAGAAGGAGAGGUGUGAUGACAUCUCUUGAUGCCUUGGCAGCCAUCUUUGAUGCUCACACUGCCCAGAGAAGCCUUCCAGAACUUUCUCAUUUCACAGUGAGAUGGCAACCAUGGCUGCCCACCAUAUACUCAUGGAAUAAAAAUGGGGUGUGGUACUCUCCCACCUUGAUAAAUUGGGAAAUUCUCUCAUGCCCUUUCUCAGUUCUCUGUGGUAUGUGAACUUGACGUUCCAGGCCAAAUGAGUCAGCAGAGAUGGCAAUGCUACAUUUAUUUGCACAAAAACGUGUCAGCAGUUCUCUAAAAAAACAAAUGCAUUCUUAUCAUACUGUGAAUAAAAUAUUAAUUCUUCACUUUGAAGAGAUUAGGUCACGAUGCUGUAGCAUGACAUUUUAUUGUUGGGAAAGGCUUUAGGACAAUUCUUGUCCAGUUUCCUCAUUUUAAAGUGGAGAAACUGAGGCCCAGAGAAAUGAGAAUGAUUUAGCUAAGAGCAUAGAGCUAGUUAAUGGCAGAAAUUGUAAGGAUCAUUCUUUAAAAACAAACAAACAAAAACCUAGGAAGUUUCUAUCGGGUGCCAAAGUGCCAAAGCUUGUUCUGGGAGCCAAACACACCACAUUGACUAAGAUCCAGCGGCUGCCCUCCAGGAAGGCACAAUGCACCAUGAAUGGCCAACUAAACACUUUCUAGCAUGUGUUCCAUUUGAAGUCCUUAUAGGGUAUGGGGGAUGCUGGGUGGCAGAUAGAAUGGGAUUGGCCUGGGGAAUUUUGGGGAAGCUUUGCAGAGGAGGAGAUAUUUAUGUUGAAACUUAGAAGAUGAAUCAGAUUUUCAGAUUCAGGAAAGAGAGAAAGAAGUGUAAAGAAGGCACCCCCACAAAAGGCACAGCCUGAAUGAUGGCAGAGAAAUGGGAAGGAAUGGGAUUUUUCAGGGGAAGGUGCAGGUGAAUCUGAAUAGCUGCUCAGGAGAGCUCCAGAGGAGAAAUGCUGUGUGGACCAUGAGUCUGGGAACUAAGCCUGGCAGGAGAGGUAGGAGAGAAGGAAAUGAAGAAGAUUGAACUCGCAAAGCAGAUUUGACCUUUGAGCAGUGAUUUGAAGAGCCAAGAUUAUGGCCUCUUAACUACAAAAUCUCUACCUGACCCUAUCCAGCACCUUUUUCAGCCAUGAUGCUUAAAAUUCACUGUUUAGGAUUUAUUCCUUUGGGCAUUGAAGAUGUCUUUGCCUUAAGUAAACCCUAUUAAAAUGUAAUGCCUCUGAGUGAGAUUAGCAUAAUCCAUCAGGUAAUGCCUCCAGAAAUUUGUUGACAACUAGAUGACAGCUAGCUGAAAACAAGAUCUGGCGGAAAGGAAACAGAGGAGACACGUAGGGGAGGGCGUUAGGUGCCAAAAGAGAGGGGAAGGUGCUGAGAGGGGAGGUUUUGAAAUUGUGCCUGUGGUUGGCCCUGCCUGAGAACUGUAUGUGCAGGCCAGGUAUGGGGUCAAAAGGAACUUUAUGUGGCCUAGAGACUAAUGGUGGUUGCCCAGGCCCUCCGUUCUGAUGGGGAACACAAUGCAUGUAGACAGAGAAUUGUCCCUUCUGCAAGUGGCCUCAGGGAAUGAGAGUGCAGACUCUAAAUCUGUCCACCUUAUUUGGUUUGAAGGGGAGAAAGAGGAAGUGUUGGCUCACAUAAAACUCUAGUUUCUCUUCCUCGGGUAGGGAAACAUGACGAACGUAACUCCAAAUUUGGAUAUUCUUAGACUCUGUUGGGAAUCUGCUUGUACGUACUGGAAACUGGUACAGGUUUUACAUUAAACUUGCUUCAAUCAUCUCCAGGAGGUGCAUUACACUUAUCUCCAAAUUUGAGUGAAAUUGCCUGCCUAUUCUAUAAUAACAAAAAUAUCACAGAGCUACUAAGUGCCUGAGCAAAGCUCUGAAGCCAUUUCUGUUAUUAAGCCAUGAGUAAUAUCUGCCAGUGGUAGCCAGCCCCCAAGAUGGUCCCGGUAUUCAUGCCCUUGUUAGUGUCUCCUCCUGCACGGGAUAGGGCUGACUGUGUAACCAACAGGAUAUUGCAGAAAAGAUGGAGAGUGAUUUCUGAGGCUGGGCAUAAAAGACGAUGUGUUUCCAGCUUGUGUCCUUGGACCACUGGCACUGUGGGAAGCCUGCUGUCAUGUCGUGAGGACUUAUGCAGCCUAUGGAUGGACCAGUGUGGUCAAGACCUAAGGCCUCUUGCCAACAGCCAUGUGAGGGAGUCAUCUUGGAAGUGGAUCCUCUGACUCCGAAAACCCUUCAAAUGACUCCACUCCCAGCACAUAUCGGGACUGCAACAUCGUGAGAGACCCUUAGCCACUCCCAAAUUCCUGACCCCAAAAUACUAUGGACAAUAAAUUUUUAUUGUUUUAAGCCUCUAAGUUUAAGGGUAAUUUGUUAUACAGCAGCAGAUCAUCUAAUGUACUGCCUAAUAUGAUGAAAUUCGGGGUAACGUGUAGGAGAAUGCUGAGAACAUAUUACUUCACACUGUAGAAAGGAUAUGGAUUUCUUUAAACACGUCACAAUCCUAAAAGGUCUAUCCAAUGAUCCAGGGGCCUGAAUGGGCCACCAAAAUAAUAGAGGGAUGUCUCUAUACAGAUUUAUUCAACAAAAUGAUAGAUGGGUAUACAGGAAAACCUGCUCAGAUGUGCCCUGUAGUUCUGAUAUGCAAGGGAGACUAUUGGAGGUAUGCCCUGAUGAAAAGGGAAGGGAAACAGCAAUCGCAUCUAGAGUUUACAGACUUAGAUAGCAUUGCUUCGAACCUCACUGACGUCUUGCUUUCCCAGAAAAUGGGAAAUGAAAUAAAAACUGAAGGGGGAGGGGUGACUUAUCCCUAGGGAGGUUCAGCAGAUUUAGUGAGAUCAUGAAGAUAGCACAUCCUAACUAAAACCAUGAACUUGGUCAACCCAGUCCUCCUGCCCCACUAGGUCAUAUUCCAGCUGACCUCAAUAGAGACAGUUCCAUUCAAAGAUUAUCAUUAAACAGAAGAGAACCAUAUAGACCUUAUGCAUUGAUUCUCAUGGUGGGAAAGGGAGGAAGGAGCACAAGCAAAGGCAGAUGGUCAGCAUUCCUUCUCCUAAAUUUGGUAAUAGGCCCCAAUUUUUUGUGGGGGGGGGGCCUUACUCACUCUCAUUUCAUGUGGCUCUGGUGUGAUAACCAAUCAUUCUCUCCCACUUUUGCUGCCAGAGGUAUGUGAUCCAAAUCUGGCCAAUAAGAAUAACCAUUUAUGAAGCCAAACUGGUAGCUUCAAGGAUAAGCAUGUGAUUGAAUGUGGACCAAUCAGAGUCUUCCCUGGAAUGUCUCUGUCAGUGCUCUGGCCAAAGAUGCUCUUUUCUUAACAGUGUUGCUAAGCAUUAGAAUAUGAGUCUUGAGUUGGCAGCGGCUAUCAUGGCAACCACUUGUAGAGAGCUUAACCAGUAGAUGGAGAGCUGAAGACAUCAGUUGAGAUCCUAGAUGUUCCUAAAACUGCAUUGCCCUUGGACUUUUCAGUGAUAUGAACAAAUAAAUUCACUUUUACACUAAGCUAGUUUGAGUUGAGUGUCUAUCAUUUGCAACCAAGUAAGUACAGAUCAAUUCAUUAUUACAAAACAGAAAAGUUCACAAAAUAGUCCCUUAGAGUCUUAGAGAAUUGAAAGAUGGCACAGACUAUUUGGAAGAAAAAAAAACCACCUCAAAAAGAAAUAAGGAAGAUGAAAGAAAAGAUGGUGAGCGGAAAAGUUGAAAAGCAAGCUGGCAAAACAUGGAAAAGAAACAGAAGAGAAAAUCAAACUAUUGCAAAGAAGAAAGCCACGUAAAGAAAAUAUAAAAGGUAAAAAGAAAUUGGAUGUAAACAUUGUUAGAGACAUGGAUAACAGGCUUGAGGGAAUUAUUAUUUUAUAAUCACAAGAUAUAAUUUUUAAAAAUAAAGUGAUAGCAAUUAAAUGAAAAGCAUGUGCAGGGGAGGAAGACAUUUCCUCUUCCCAAAUAUGGGUUCGUCUGGCUGGAGAACGAAUUAAACUCACAUGAGACAGAAUAGCAAGAGAAAAUUAAACAAAGCUUUAUGAGGAACCAUGGUCCAGGGCCUUUCUUCCUGAAGGAAGAAAGGGCACCGAAGAAGUGGGGUGCACAGAGUGGUUAUAUACCCCCAAACAGGGUGUUUCACAUGUGAUUGAAAUGUCCCUCCCACAAUAGUCACAAGAUUGCCCUGUCGGCACAGCGCUUGAUGGACUCAGCAGGUAGUGGUCUGCUAUCUCGGUGGGCGUAGCAGGAGGCAAGUCUAUUGUCUGGAGCUGGGCGGUCACAGGUGAGCGCAGCAAUCAGUUCCUAGCCUAAGGAAAGAUGCUAAAUCCUUAAAGAAAUGCCAAAGUUGGGAGGGAGAGGAAAGUCAGUUACAGGAGGUUACCAGACAAACACAAUAAAAUGCAGAUUUAAGUCCUUGCCUUUGGUAUUGAUUAAGAGUUUCUAGAGAGAAGGUCAUCUCCUUUCUUCUUCCUGGUACAGCGAGGGAGGCACAUUUUACAGAUAGAGAUUUACCUUACAAAUGUAAAUGUGUCCUAACAAAGGGUAAGUUCCAUUCCUCAGAGCCUCCUUCCCUGUCCCAGUUUAUCAAAAGCAAUCAGCCUCAAAUAAUCCUGAUGCCAAAGAGACAUAUCUUGGGGUGGCCAAUUUCACGUCCCCACACAUGGAAGGCAGACAAAGGCAAUCACAUAUGUAUGUACACAUAUACAUGCAUAUACAGUCAUGUGUCACUUAAGGAUGGGGACAUGUUCUGAGAAAUGCAUCGUUAGCAGAUUUUGUCAUUGUGCAAACUUCACAGAGUGGACUUACACAGACCUAGAUGGUAUAGCCUUCUACACGCCUAGGCUAUAUGGCACUCAUGUCAUGGGACCCCUGUUGUAUAUACAGUCUGUAGCUGACUGAAACACCAUUAUGUGGUGCAAGACUGUAUGUAAGUUAUGUUAUAUACUAUAUAUAUAUGCAUAUACACGGCUGGUGUUUAUGAAUAAUUAUAAUAGCUAAUAUUUACAUGGUGCUUACUACAUGUCAGGCAUUUCCUAAAGCCUUUGUUAACUCAUUUACUCUUUAUAAGAGCUGUAUGAAAGCAGGU